RNAcentral lists this ribosomal RNA (1460 nucleotides) under uncultured Bordetella sp. RNAcentral's name for it is "partial 16S-23S ribosomal RNA intergenic spacer". It matches the Rfam family "Bacterial small subunit ribosomal RNA". The record is from RNAcentral. Lineage: Bacteria; Pseudomonadati; Pseudomonadota; Betaproteobacteria; Burkholderiales; Alcaligenaceae.
AGUUUGAUCAUGGCUCAGAUUGAACGCUGGCGGGAUGCUUUACAUGCAAGUCGAACGGCAGCACGGACUUCGGUCUGGUGGCGAGUGGCGAACGGGUGAGUAAUGUAUCGGAACGUGCCCUAGUAAGGGGAUAACUACGCGGCGUAAUAAUACCACAUGCAUACCUUCAGCGAAGAAGCGGGGGACCUUCGGGCCUCGCACUAUUAGAGCGGCCGAUAUCGGAUUAGCAGCUAUUGGUGGGAGUAACGGCUCACCAAGGCGACGAUCCGUAGCUGGUUUGAGAGGACGACCAGCCACACUGGGACUGAGACCUGGCCCAGACUCCUACGGGAGGCAGCAGUGGGGAAUUUUGGACAAUGGGGAAACCCUGAUCGCCAUCCCGCGUGUGCGAUGCGGGAAGGCCUUCGGGUUGCUAAAGCACUGCAGGAGAAAAACGGCACGGGAUAAUACCCGUCACAACGGCGGUACCUGCAGAAUGACACCGGCUAACUACGUGCUGCCAGCAGCCGCGGUAAUACGUAGGGUGCAAGCGUUAAUCCGGAUACUGGCGUAAAGCGUGCGCAGGCGGUUGGAAAGAUGUAAAGUAAGAACGCUUGACUGCAUUUUUAACUACCGAGCUAGAGUGUGUCAGAGGGAGGUGGAAUUCGCGUGUAGCAGUGAAAUGCGUAGAUAUGCGGAGGAACACCGAUAAUGACAGCUCCCUGGAUAACUUACUGACGCUAACACACGUAGCAAUGAGGCUCGUGAUUAGAUACCCUGGUAGUCCACGCCCUAAACGAUGUCAACUAGCUGUUGGGGCCUUCGGGCCUUGGUAGCGCAGCUAACGCGUGGAAGUUGACCACCCUGGGAGUACGGUCGCAAGAUUAAAACUCAAGGAAUUGACGGGGACCCGCACAAGCGGUGGAUGAUGUGGAUUAAAUUCGAUGCAACGCGAAAAACCUUACCUACCCUUGACAUGUCUGGAAUCCCGAAGAGAUUUGGGGAGUGCUCGCAAGAGAACCGGAACACAGGUGCUGCAUGGCUGUCGUCAGCUCGUGUCGUGAGAUGUUGGGUUAAGUCCGCAACGAGCGCAACCCUUGUCAUUAGUUGCUACGAAAGGGCACUCUAAUAUGAGACUGCCGGUGACAAACCGGAGGAAGAUGGGGAUGACGUCAAGUCCUCAUGGCCCUUAUGGUGGACUUCACCACGUCAUACAAUGGUCCGGGACGGGGUCGCCAACCCGCGAGGGGAGCCAAAUCCCAGAAACCCGAUCGUAGUCCGGAUCAUGAUCUGCAACUCGACUGCGUGAAGUCGGAAUCGCUAGUAAUCGCGGAUCAGCAUGUCGCGGUGAAUACGUUCCCGGGUCUUGUACACCGCCCGUCACACCAUGAGAUGGGUUUUACCAGAAGUAGUUAGCCUAACCGUAAGGAGGCGAUUACCACGGUAAGUUCAUGACUGGGGGUGAAGUCAUGCUAAGGUAA